Molecule: transfer RNA, 87 nt
Filed under: Trametes sanguinea
Lineage: Eukaryota; Fungi; Basidiomycota; Agaricomycetes; Polyporales; Polyporaceae
Also listed under: 1 other name
Description: tRNA-Thr
Rfam family: tRNA
About the family: Transfer RNA (tRNA) molecules are approximately 80 nucleotides in length. Their secondary structure includes four short double-helical elements and three loops (D, anti-codon, and T loops).
Source: RNAcentral
UCCCGCUUAGCUCAGUUGGUAGAGCGCGUCACUAGUACCAUCUGAUGGGCAAUGACGAGGUCAGUCGUUCGAGUCGGCUAGUGGGAA